This 497-nucleotide long non-coding RNA is filed under the name Phoenix dactylifera (date palm). Its description in RNAcentral is "long non-coding RNA (PDAC_LNC013069)". The record is from RNAcentral. Lineage: Eukaryota; Viridiplantae; Streptophyta; Magnoliopsida; Arecales; Arecaceae.
UAGUUCAUCAUAAGAAUAUUCUUCAUGAAAUUCAUUAGAUUCAGAUUCUACUUUAUCUUCUAGUGCCAUAAAACAUAAGUUAGUUACCUUUUGUAGUUCAUUGGAGCUAAUAUCAUCAUUAUUGCUCCUAGCUUUCAUUUUCUUGCUUGACUCUUCCUUGGUCAAGGCGUUCUUCCUUUUUAUCUCUUUCUUUCUUUCUUCUUGCUUCCUCUUCUUCUUUGUCUUUAGGAAGCUUUUAAAUUUUCUUGCUGUUCUUUCUUCCUCGAGUCGACUCGAGUUUACUUGGAGUCGACUCGACUGACUUGAGAGUCGACUCGAGAUCUUCGGGAGACGUCUCGUUCUCAGAGGCCUAAAAGAUGGUUCUCUGUCUUUUGAAUUGUUCUGCCUCGGAGUCGACUCGGGCCUUGUCGGAGUCGACUCGGCUAACUUGGGAGUCGACUCGGAACUACUUGGAGUCGACUCGUUCACAGGGUCUUCAAGACUGUGUCUCUGCCUUU